This 697-nucleotide ribosomal RNA is filed under the name Escherichia coli. RNAcentral's name for it is "partial 23S ribosomal RNA". It matches the Rfam family "Bacterial large subunit ribosomal RNA", at positions 2148 to 2839 of the family's 2925-position model. Lineage: Bacteria; Pseudomonadati; Pseudomonadota; Gammaproteobacteria; Enterobacterales; Enterobacteriaceae. The record is from RNAcentral.
UGGGAGGCUUUGAAGUGUGGACGCCAGUCUGCAUGGAGCCGACCUUGAAAUACCACCCUUUAAUGUUUGAUGUUCUAACGUGGACCCGUGAUCCGGGUUGCGGACAGUGUCUGGUGGGUAGUUUGACUGGGGCGGUCUCCUCCUAAAGAGUAACGGAGGAGCACGAAGGUUGGCUAAUCCUGGUCGGACAUCAGGAGGUUAGUGCAAUGGCAUAAGCCAGCUUGACUGCGAGCGUGACGGCGCGAGCAGGUGCGAAAGCAGGUCAUAGUGAUCCGGUGGUUCUGAAUGGAAGGGCCAUCGCUCAACGGAUAAAAGGUACUCCGGGGAUAACAGGCUGAUACCGCCCAAGAGUUCAUAUCGACGGCGGUGUUUGGCACCUCGAUGUCGGCUCAUCACAUCCUGGGGCUGAAGUAGGUCCCAAGGGUAUGGCUGUUCGCCAUUUAAAGUGGUACGCGAGCUGGGUUUAGAACGUCGUGAGACAGUUCGGUCCCUAUCUGCCGUGGGCGCUGGAGAACUGAGGGGGGCUGCUCCUAGUACGAGAGGACCGGAGUGGACGCAUCACUGGUGUUCGGGUUGUCAUGCCAAUGGCACUGCCCGGUAGCUAAAUGCGGAAGAGAUAAGUGCUGAAAGCAUCUAAGCACGAAACUUGCCCCGAGAUGAGUUCUCCCUGACCCUUUAAGGGUCCUGAAGGAACGUU